GGGAUUUUGGAUUUUGAAGUCUCUUAAAGCAGAUGGUACACUCUAAGACCUUCUCAUCAACAUGUUCCAGAAACUGAUUCAACUUACUGGUAGCCAUCUUGAAUUGAUAUCCUGUGAAAUUUAAAUAAUAGGGUCUGAUAGUCUUUAAGAGGAUCAUACAACAAGCAGAGUACUGCAGAGUAGAACAGAACAAGAGAUCUGAAAAUAUCCAGAG
Molecule: long non-coding RNA, 214 nt
Organism: Anneissia japonica
Lineage: Eukaryota; Metazoa; Echinodermata; Crinoidea; Comatulida; Comatulidae
Exons: 3
Source: RefSeq, a predicted model, not a curated record